This is an RNA transcript of Sapajus apella (tufted capuchin), 2350 nucleotides long. It is a transcript of the gene named ATP-dependent RNA helicase DDX54-like, with no coding region annotated. NCBI's taxonomy places the organism in Eukaryota, Metazoa, Chordata, Mammalia, Primates, Cebidae. The transcript has 3 exons. The record is from RefSeq and is a predicted model, not a curated record.
AUGGAGACAGUAUUAUUAGCUGUGUUGUUCCUGAAUGGCCUGAGCUACCUGGUGUUCAAAGGCAUCGUGAAGAAGGGCUACAAAGUGCCGACACCCAUCCAGAGGAAGAGCAUCCAGGUGAUCUUGGAUGGCAAGGAUGUGGUGGCCAUGACCUGCACUGGCAGUGGCAAGACCGCCUGCUUCCUCCUUCCCAAGUUUGAGUGGCUCAAGACCCACCGCUCAGACUGGGGCCCAUGCCCUCAUCCUUUCGCUCACCUGAGAACUGGCCCUGCAGACCCUGAAGUUCACCGAGGAGCUGGGGAAGUUCACUGGCCUCAAGACUGCCCGGAUCCUGGGUGGAAACAGGAUGGAAUAUCAGUUUGUAGCCCUGCAUGAAAAUCCCAACAUAAUUAUUGCCACUCCCAGAUGGCUGGUGCAUGUGGCUGUGGAAAUGAACCUGAAGGUGCAGAGUGUGGACUAUGUUGUGUUUGAUGAAGCCGACUGGCUUUUUGAAAUGGGCUUUGCAAAGCAGCUGCAGGAGAUUAUCACCCACCUCCCUGGGGGCCACCAGAUGAUGACGUUCUCCACCAUGCUGCCCAAACUGCUGGUGGAAUUUGCCCAGGCAGGCCUCACGGAGCCCAUGCUCAUCUGGCUUGACAUGGACGCUAAGCUCAGUGAGUAGCUCAAGACCUUCUUUCGUGCAGGAGGACACCAAGGCUGCUGUGCUGCUCCACCUGCUGCACAACGUGCUGCAGCCUGAGGACAAGACUGUGGUGUUCGUGGCCACGAAGCACCAUGCCGAGUACCUCACCGAGCUACUGACGACCCAGCAGGUGAGCUGUGCCCACAUCUACAGCGCUCUAGACCUGACAGCCCGCAAGGUCAACCCGCCAAAUUCACGCUUGGCAAGUGCUCUGCCCUCAUUGUGACUGACCUGGCCACCAGGGGCCUGGACAUCCCACUGCUGGACAAUGUCAUCAACUACAGCUUCCCUGCCAAGGGCAAGCUCUUCCUGCACUGCAUGGGCCAUGUGGCUCGAGCUGGCCAAAGUGGCAUGGCCUAUUCCUUGGUGGCCCCUGAUGAAAUACCCUACCUGCUGGAUCUGCCUCUGUUCCUGGGCUGCUCCCUCACCCUUGCCUGGCCCCUCAAGGAACCCUCAGGUGCAGCCAGUGUGAACGGCAUGCUGGGCCAGGUGCCACAGAGCAUGGUGGAUGAGGAGGACAGUGGCCUGCAGAGCACCCUGAAGGCUCACUGGAGCUAGGGGCCUGGCAAGCAUGGCUGACAACGCCCAGCAGCAGUACCUGCACUGGCGGCUGGUACCCUCGCCCGAGUCCAUCAAGAGGGCCAAGGAGCUGGACUUUUCAGGGCUGGGCCUGCACCCCCUGUUCAGUUCGUGCUUCUAGGAGGGGGAGCUGCAGUGGCUGAGGCUGGUGAACAGCAUCAAAAACUACUGCUCUCGGUCAAACAUCUUUGAGAUCAAUGCCUCCAGCCGAAACCUGUGCAGCCAGGUGAUGCACAACAAGAAGGACUGCAAAGCCAUUGCCCGCUUCCAGCAGGGAUGGCAAGGGCGGCGGGAGCAUCAGGAGGGCCCUGUAGGCCCAGCCCUGAGCCACCCAGCACUGCAGGAGAAGCAGCCCGAGGAGGAGGAGGUGGGAGAGAGUGUGGAGGAUGUCUUCUCAGAGGUCUUGGGCUGGAGGCGGCCACAGUUGGGACCCGACAGGGGAGCCAAGAGGCAGAGUGAGGUGGCCCAGCGGCUGGACCAGGAAUUCUACAUCCCCUACCGGCCCAAGGACUUUGACAGGCAGCAGGGCCUGAGCGUUGGCGGGGAAUGGGGGGCCUUCGAGCUGCAGGCGGCUGGCGCGGUUCUGGACCUGAUGGGGCAUGAAGCCCAGAAUCUCACAAGGGGCCUCCAGCAGCUCAAGUGGGACCAUAAGAAGAAGCGGUUUGUGGGGCAGUCAGGACAGGAAGACAAGAAGAAGAUUAAGACAGAGAACGGCCGCUACAUCAGCAGCUCCUCAAGAGAGACCUCUAUGAGAAGUGGAAGCAGAAACAGAAAAUUGAUGAUCGUGACCCGGGCGAGGAAGGGGCAUCGACCGGCGAAGCCCAGAGCGGAGGUGGGAAGCGAGGCCGUGGCCGAGGUGCAUCCCAGCCCCGCACCCCAGGCAUCCCUGCAGGCCGCGUCCCCCCCGAACUCAAGACCAAGCAGCAGAUUCUGAAGCCGCGGCGCCGGGCGCAGAACCUGCGCUUCCUGCGGCGAGGUGGCCUCAAGCCGCUCUCCGCUCGCAACCGCCGCCACGCCCAGGAGCUGAAGCAGGGUGCGUUCGGCCGGGGUGCCCGCUCCAAGAAGGGCAGGAUGCAGAAGAGGAUGUGA